AGCUUUAUUCGGGGAAAAAGAAUGGUACUUCUUCAGCCCAAGAGACCGUAAAUAUCCAAACGGGUCUAGACCGAACCGGGUUGCCGGCUCGGGUUACUGGAAGGCUACCGGUACGGACAAAAUAAUCUCGUCGGAAGGGAAGAACGUGGGGAUUAAAAAGGCACUGGUUUUCUAUGUGGGAAAAGCUCCGAAGGGAACAAAAACGAAUUGGAUUAUGCACGAGUAUCGCCUCAUAUCCUCCUCCAGAAAAACUGGAAGCUCCAAGCUGGACGAUUGGGU
This 279-nucleotide unclassified non-coding RNA is filed under the name Hevea brasiliensis (rubber tree). The record is from RNAcentral. Lineage: Eukaryota; Viridiplantae; Streptophyta; Magnoliopsida; Malpighiales; Euphorbiaceae.